RNAcentral lists this long non-coding RNA (311 nucleotides) under Homo sapiens (human). RNAcentral describes it as "non-protein coding lnc-DNA2-1:3". The record is from RNAcentral. Lineage: Eukaryota; Metazoa; Chordata; Mammalia; Primates; Hominidae.
GCAUUUGAGCAUUAUAAAACGUUAAUUACUACGAAGCUGGGAAUUUCAGGUCAUGUGCACAGAUUAAUGGCUGGAUCCAUGGCAGGUAAACAUAUUCUACUAUUUGUAUUGGAUUGUAGUUGUAAACUGAGGGAAGAAGAAAGCUGUUACCACCACUAUUCAAGGUAUGACAGCAGUUAUCUGUACUUACCCUCUUGACAUGGUUAGGGUCCGCCUAGCAUUCCAGGUGAAAGGGGAACACAGCUAUACAGGAAUUAUUCAUGCUUUCAAAACAAUUUAUGCAAAGGAAGGUGGUUUCUUUGGAUUUUACA